AUUGAACGCUGGCGGCAGGCCUAACACAUGCAAGUCGAGCGGAUGAAGGGAGCUUGCGCCUGGAUUCAGCGGCGGACGGGUGAGUAAUGCCUAGGAAUCUGCCUGGUAGGGGGGGAGAACGUUCGGAAACGGGCGCUAAUACUGCAUACGUCCUGAUGGAGAAAGAGGGGGAGCUUCGGACAUCACGCUAUGAGAUGAGCCUAGGUCGGUUUAGCUAGUUGGUGGGGUAAAGGCCUACCAAGGCGACGAUCCGUAACUAGUCUGAGAGGAUGAUCAGUCACCCUGGAGCUGAGCCACCGUCCAGGCUCCUGCGGUAGGCCGCAGUCGGGAAUAUUGGGCAACGGGCGAAAGCCUGGUCCAACCAUGCCGAGCGUGUGGAGGAAGUCUUCCGAUUGUAAAGCACUUUAAGUUGUGAGGAAGGGCAGUAAGUUAAUACCUUGCUGUUUUGACGUUACCAGCAGAAUAAGCACCGGCUAACUUCGUG
Molecule: ribosomal RNA, 484 nt
Filed under: uncultured bacterium
Lineage: Bacteria
Description: partial 16S ribosomal RNA
Rfam family: Bacterial small subunit ribosomal RNA
Source: RNAcentral